Molecule: non-coding RNA, 53 nt
Filed under: unclassified sequences
Source: RNAcentral
UCCUCAAUGCGGCAAGCCGGUGACAAGCCCGGCGGUAGACGCAGAGUCAAGGA